GAUGAAGAACGCAGCGAAAUGCGAUACUUGGUGUGAAUUGCAGAAUCCCGUGAACCAUCGAGUCUUUGAACGCAAGUUGCGCCCGAAGCCAUUAGGCCGAGGCACGCCUGCCUGGGCGUCACACGUCGUUGCCCCCCCAUCUACUCCUUCGGGAUUGCGGGGGGCGGAUGAUGGCCUCCCGUGCGCCUCGCCGCGCGGUUGGCAUAAAUGCCAAGUCCUCGGCGACGCACGCCACGACAAUCGGUGGUUGCGAAACCUCGGUUGCCCGUCGUGUGCGGUCGUCGCGCAUCGAGGGCUCGAAAAAAUUGCCGGGUUCCGGCUCGGCUUUCAACGCGACCCCAGGUCAGGCGGGGUUACCCGCUGAAUUUAAGCAUAUCAAUAAGCGGAGGA
RNAcentral lists this unclassified non-coding RNA (390 nucleotides) under soil metagenome. RNAcentral describes it as "partial contains 5.8S ribosomal RNA, internal transcribed spacer 2, and large subunit ribosomal RNA". The stretch from base 1 to 121 matches the Rfam family "5.8S ribosomal RNA", at positions 35 to 154 of the family's 154-position model. The record is from RNAcentral.